RNAcentral lists this ribosomal RNA (462 nucleotides) under uncultured Proteiniphilum sp. RNAcentral's name for it is "bacterial SSU rRNA". It matches the Rfam family "Bacterial small subunit ribosomal RNA", at positions 920 to 1382 of the family's 1533-position model. Lineage: Bacteria; Pseudomonadati; Bacteroidota; Bacteroidia; Bacteroidales; Dysgonomonadaceae. The record is from RNAcentral.
CCCGCACAAGCGGAGGAACAUGUGGUUUAAUUCGAUGAUACGCGAGGAACCUUACCCGGGCUUGAAAUGCAUCUGACCGGCCUUGAAAGAGGUUUUCCCUUCGGGGCAGAUGUGUAGGUGCUGCAUGGUUGUCGUCAGCUCGUGCCGUGAGGUGUCGGCUUAAGUGCCAUAACGAGCGCAACCCUCAUCAUUAGUUACCAUCAGGUAAGGCUGGGGACUCUAAUGAGACUGCCAUCGUAAGAUGUGAGGAAGGUGGGGAUGACGUCAAAUCAGCACGGCCCUUACGUCCGGGGCGACACACGUGUUACAAUGGGUGGUACAAAGGGCAGCUACCUGGCGACAGGAUGCUAAUCUCCAAAACCACUCUCAGUUCGGAUCGGAGUCUGCAACUCGACUCCGUGAAGCUGGAUUCGCUAGUAAUCGCGCAUCAGCCACGGCGCGGUGAAUACGUUCCCGGGCCUU